Molecule: ribosomal RNA, 380 nt
Filed under: uncultured bacterium
Lineage: Bacteria
Description: bacterial SSU rRNA
Rfam family: Bacterial small subunit ribosomal RNA
Source: RNAcentral
GUUGAACGCUGGCGGCAUGCCUUACACAUGCAAGUCGAACGGCAGCGGACCUUCGGGUGCCGGCGAGUGGCGAACGGGUGAGUAAUAUAUCGGAACGUACCUUUCAGUGGGGGAUAACGUAGCGAAAGUUACGCUAAUACCGCAUAUUCUGUGAGCAGGAAAGCAGGGGAUCGCAAGACCUUGCGCUGAUUGAGCGGCCGAUAUCAGAUUAGCUAGUUGGUGAGGUAAAGGCUCACCAAGGCGACGAUCUGUAGCGGGUCUGAGAGGAUGAUCCGCCACACUGGAACUGAGACACGGUCCAGACUCCUACGGGAGGCAGCAGUGGGGAAUUUUGGACAAUGGGCGCAAGCCUGAUCCAGCCAUGCCGCGUGAGUGAAGAA